This 481-nucleotide ribosomal RNA is filed under the name uncultured bacterium. RNAcentral's name for it is "partial 16S ribosomal RNA". It matches the Rfam family "Bacterial small subunit ribosomal RNA", at positions 30 to 507 of the family's 1533-position model. The record is from RNAcentral.
AUUGAACGCUGGCGGCAUGCCUUACACAUGCAAGUCGAACGGUAACGGGCCUUCGGGUGCCGACGAGUGGCGAACGGGUGAGUAAUACAUCGGAACGUGCCCGAUCGUGGGGGAUAACGAGGCGAAAGCUUUGCUAAUACCGCAUACGAUCUACGGAUGAAAGCAGGGGACCGCAAGGCCUUGCGCGGACGGAGCGGCCGAUGGCAGAUUAGGUAGUUGGUGGGAUAAAAGCUACCAAGCCGACGAUCUGUAGCUGGUCUGAGAGGAUGAUCAGCCACACUGGGACUGAGACACGGCCCAGACUCCUACGGGAGGCAGCAGUGGGGAAUUUUGGACAAUGGGCGCAAGCCUGAUCCAGCCAUGCCGCGUGCAGGAUGAAGGCCUUCGGGUUGUAAACUGCUUUUGUACGGAACGAAAAGCCUUCUUUUAAUACAGGAGGGUCAUGACGGUACCGUAAGAAUAAGCACCGGCUAACUACGUG